AGUACUUCAUAUUCCAGGUGUGGGUUCCUCUCUCCUGGGAUUUGCUGCAGCUGCAGAGCCCUGCCCUUUUCGCAGCCUUGGCCACUUGUGUGAGCCACUAGGGCCAUCCCAGCCUGAUGGACGGGAGGCGGUCCUCACCAGGAAUUCAAUUCAUUCCCUGCCCCCUUUCCUAGCCUAGGCAGAGAAACUAGUCACUGGCCAUUGCCCUGGGGGAAUCCCCUCACGCAGUGGCUUCCCAUCUUAGAACCCGGACUUACCUCCAGGCGGAGGUGAGGGGUGGGGAGUACUGUAAAUAGACUUGCUGCAGAGCAACUCAGGGUUGGGGUAUGUUUGAGUUCUCCUGAUCACUUGAAAACUAAUCUGUAGGCUGAAUGCUUCUGGAGUGUGGGGGAAAUGUGACUCCGGGGUCCUUUGUCCUCUGAGGCUCUGCGGGUGGAGGGUAGGACUUCAGAGGCCCUUUGAUAGCACGGCUGCGCUGUCUGCCCUUCUGGAAACCCAACCUGCCAUCAGCUGUAAAUCAGAUUCUUCACAUUCCAGGUGUAAGCUUUCCCUUCCCUGUGACUCUCAGUCCCUAGCUACAUGGUCAGGGGGACUCUGUUAAACCACCCAAAUUUAGGGAAUGAGAGGGGAGAGAGGAGGCCAUUAGGAGUCUGCCUUCAAGACUCAUUUCUUGAAAACAAAAUGGAAAAAAAAAAAGAUAACCACCUUCAAUCACAGGCAAAAACUAAACCAAGAAAAAAAAAAAAAAAGCAAACAAACCAAAAAACCCAACAGCAACCAUGUAACUGAAGGAAGGGUCUGGUUCCGCUCCAUCCCGUGUUCAUUGUGCCUUUACUUGUGUUAGAUCUCUGUGCUUUCUUCCUCCCCCUCUAUGACGUCAUUAAUUAAAGCCUUCCUUGAUAACCGCUGUUUCCUUUCUGCUCCUGUUUCUUACAGCUUGGUGGGUUUCUUCUCUGAUUGUCUUCCAUCUUACUCGCCUGGUGGCAGAGGGGCUUAGCGCACACACGCACCCUCUUUUUUUUUUUCUAACUUCUCCUUUCCCACAGUUUCCAGCCUGGAAGUUACAGUCAACACUGAGUAAGAGACCAGAGUGAUUGUGUGCAUGUGCGCGUGUGUGUGUCCAUCUGCAUGUGCGUCAGUUUCUUUGAAAAAUAAUUUAUUGUGUGAUUUCCUGUGGAGUUUUUGUUCAGGUUACAGUGCUGCUCCACAAUAGCACGGAUCCCUGUCCCCCUACCCCCGGCAUAAAAUGUAUUAUCUGGUCUC
RNAcentral lists this long non-coding RNA (1263 nucleotides) under Mus musculus (house mouse). Its description in RNAcentral is "long non-coding RNA chr11:98902617-98903880". The record is from RNAcentral. Lineage: Eukaryota; Metazoa; Chordata; Mammalia; Rodentia; Muridae.